RNAcentral lists this long non-coding RNA (179 nucleotides) under Oreochromis niloticus (Nile tilapia). RNAcentral's name for it is "lncRNA (ENSONIG00000039306.1)". The record is from RNAcentral. Lineage: Eukaryota; Metazoa; Chordata; Actinopteri; Cichliformes; Cichlidae.
GGCCCUCUGUUUCUUUUUCACUCACCCACACAGACUGCAUCAAGGCUUGCCAGGACGCAGCAAAACCACUGACCAGAUGUGAUCAAGCUUGGAGCGUCAAACAGGUUAUGCCCUGUUUUGUGAUUAACCCUGGCAGCCAUACACUACAGCUGGAAGCGCAACACAACAUCCAGCACCGU